Long non-coding RNA from Carassius carassius (crucian carp), 544 nucleotides. RefSeq lists it as uncharacterized. The record is from RefSeq and is a predicted model, not a curated record. Lineage: Eukaryota; Metazoa; Chordata; Actinopteri; Cypriniformes; Cyprinidae. The transcript has 3 exons.
UUUUGAGUGAAUAACGGAUCUGUGCGUCACUCACGUGAAUGAGGUUCUUCUGUGAAGCACAAAAAGAAGAUAUUUGUCCUUUUAGUGAUGAACAGGUUUGAGCGACAGGAAAGAAUAUUAUAAUAUUGGCUUGGACUAACAUUAGGCAAACUGUCCCAUCAUGCAGCAGGAGCGCUCCUGAGGGACUCCAGCUCUGCGGAUAAUGAAGCCUGUCAUCUCCGCUCACCUCCGCGCCGGACACACUUCCAGCUCCAAACGCCUGCUCCAUCGAUUCGCUGCUAUUUUCCAAAGCGGCUGAAAUAGCUCCCAGAGCUCUUCAGAGCUGCACUUGUUGGUUGAAGAUGUUAUAAGAGCUCACAGUGGAGACGUCUCAAGAUCUGUGAGUUUGUGCUUUAUUUAACCGCACACCGUCCGAGUAAAACAUCGGGGUUCAACUGAAACAGCGACAUCUGAAAUCAGAGCAGAAAGGGUUACAUUCUUGAAGUCGUGGCAUUAAAUAUGACAUGCUUUGAUACAAAUAAAUCUCUUACAGUACAUAUAAACA